UUUGUACUUCCUCCGUCCCAAAAUUCUUGUCUUAAAUUUGUCUAAAUAUGAAUGUAUCUAGUUACAUUUUAGUGUUAGAUACAUCCGUAUCUAAACAAAUGUAAGACAAGAAUUUUGGGACGGAGGGAACACUAC
Molecule: non-coding RNA, 135 nt
Organism: Triticum aestivum (bread wheat)
Lineage: Eukaryota; Viridiplantae; Streptophyta; Magnoliopsida; Poales; Poaceae
Source: Rfam